UUGCAAUACUGCUGGAUCAUAAUUAAUAUAUUACUCCCUAAUUACUGCAGACCUGCCUUCACCAACGCACAAUAUCACAAUUCUGAAAUAUUUCUAAUCUAACUUACCUUUUCGAAAGCAGAAAGAUUUCUAACUGUAUCCCCACUUCUAGUAUGAUUUGUAUCACCUAAGAAAACACACACACACACAUAAAUAAAAUCUUUAAGCAGCUAUGUGAACAGUUCCUGUUGUUUUAUUCUUGCUUAUUUGGUGCACCAAAAGCGUUGGUUCCUUACCAGUUUACCAGAGAUUCUACAACACACUUGGGACCAUUUUUUGCUCAGUUGUAAAAUAUUAAUUUCCUUAUUUCUCAUCUUUAUAUAUAAAAGUAAGGUUGUGUGUCUGUCUCCAACGAUUUAGAUUCCUAACUACUCCCACAUUUUGCGGUGCAGUUUAACCAAAACCGGGUAUCUUAUAGUCGUGAUUCAUAUCGAGCCCUUCUUGGUAUUAGCGCGCGUCUGCGAUGAGUCUACGAUUUAAAAAAAAAUUUACCAUCAUUUUUUUCCAUUUUAAUGCAUUUUUCGCUAUCAUAUAAGGGAAGUAACUCUCUAAAAAUGUCUACGAUGAGUCAACGAUUUAAAAAAAAAUUUACCAUAAUUUUUUUUCCAUUUUUAAUGCAUUAUUUUGCUAAUUUUUGGCUAUAACUCUCUAAAAAUGCUUAUAUAGUUAUUUCCCUUACAAACCCGAGCAACGCCGGGCGAUACUGCUAGUUACAUAUAAAGUUUCUGAAUUUCCUUGAUGUUCGUCGGUUUUUAUGACCUCUCUCAUCAAGAUGUGUUUUACUCUUGUCUAUAUUUCUCUUCAGAAAUUCUGAAACAAGUCCAAUCUUUUCACAUUGCUAAUUUUUAUUCUAGUGGUUUGAUUGAGUAUGUAAUGAAAACUGUAUUUCCAAUAAAUACAUGUUCUUGUAGGUGUCAAAUUUCAACCUCUAGCAUAGUAAUUUCAAGGUUAUUGAUGAAAUUGUAAUAUGAUCACAGUGCACACUAUGCUUCAUUUCCUACUGAAUUCACUUCUAAUCUUCCUUUUAACCCAUACACACAUCAAACAGUAAGCUUUCUUACUGCUUUCCAAGCUACAAAGAAUAAAAAACCUAUUAAUAUCAUUUACUAGAUUAACAAAUGGUAAUUAGAACUAAGUAUUAAUUUUAUAAUUUUGCUUCAUACAUUUUUUAGAGUAGUUUCACUAGAUAUUGUCCUGGAUAUGAAUUUAAACUGCAUCAGGUAGUGAGGCCCUGGUUUGGGAAUUGCAGGAUUUUGAGAAGUGUGGAACCACCUCUUAGUCACUAUUGUUUCCAGAUCAGCUGUCAGGGUUCCAGCUAUGGGUUAAUUAUUAUGUCACUGAAUUAUCUCUUCAAAAAGGUCACUCACAGGCACCCUAGCAGACAGAUGAACCCCUUAAAGCUCUUAAGCUACUGAUCUGAGAGAAGGUAACUCCAUACAAAUCCUACUUUCUGAAAAUUACGGGGAUCAUGACACUUGCACUAGAACAGUACAAGUUUGAAAAUUAAUUCUUAGUUCUAAUUGCCAGUAGUUAAUCUAGUAAAUGGUAUUAAUAGGUUUUCAUUCUCUGUAGCUUGGAGAAAGCUUACUGCUUGAUGUUUGAUAGGGGUCAAAGUGAAGAUUAUUGUAAGUUCAGUGGGAAAUGAAGCAUGGAGUACUCUGUGAUUAUAUUACAUAUUGCUUUUGUGCAACAAGUGUCAUGAGAGUGGGACUGUUCUGUACAAACCAUGGCCACUAUAAUAAUAUCCAUCAUGCAGGUUCUUCAGCAGACCAAGACACCAGCACACUUGCUGAACCCUCAUUCAUCAAAACAAUGAGUGAACCCAGUCAGUCACUAAAUAUAAAACAUCUGUAAUUCUUUGACUUUUUAUACCCAAAAUAUGCCCUAUUCAACUGAAAACUAUUUAACUCCAGCCAUGUGAUUCUUUAUUACCCCAUCUUUUUACUACACUAUCCAUUUGCUUGAAAUCCCUGUAAUUUCUUGUCUCCAAUGCAUCUUCUCACUUCUUGUAAUAACUUUUUUUCGUCAUAUUUAUAUUGAAAUAUGCUGCAUUUGUAUCUGUUAAUUUUUAAUAUAACAAAGGAUUUAAUAAAAUAACUUUGUUAUUAUUAAACUGGUAUCUGGAACAUAAAUUAGGAAAUGUUGAUGUGUGAUUUCAAUUUAUAUCACUUUAAAACAGGAAGUUUGUAUCAUAGAACCAAGGGAUCUCAGUGGAAUAGUAUCACACAAUGCUUUUACUAUACCAGCCAUUAAAGUAUUUUUUUCAUACAACCAUAGUGGCUAUGUGAUUAAGGAGUUGGCUUCCAAACUAUGUAGUUUGGGGUUCAGUCCCACUGCAUAGCACCUUGGGCAAGUGUCUUCUGUUAUACUCCUGAGAUAAUCAACACCUUGUUCAAGCAAAAUAAAUAUCAUCAUCAUCAUCAUCAUCAUCGUUUAACGUCUGUUCUCCAUGCUAGCAUGGGUUGGACGGUUCGACCGGGGAUCUGGGUAGCCAGAAGGCUGCACCAGGCUCCAGUCUUAUCUGGCAAUGUUUCUACAGCUGGAUGCCCUUCCUAAUGCCAACCACUCCGUGAGUGUAGUGGGUGCUUUUUACGUGCCACCUGCACAGGUGCCAGGUGAGGCUGGCAACGGCCAUGGUCGGAUUGGUGUAUUUUACGUGCCACCGGCACGGAAGCCAGUCGAGGCGGCGCUGGCAUCGGCCACGAUUCGGAUAGUGCUUUUUACGUACCACCAGACCAGGGAUCCUGGCUGGUUCAAUUCGAUUUCGAUUUCGCUUGCCCCAACAUGUCUUCGCAAGCAAAGGAGGUUGGCAUGGGUGCCUGUCGUCAGAUGAGGUUCUAUAUCGACUUCGCUUGCCUCAACAGGUCUUUGUGUCCAAGGGAGGAAAGGUAUGCAUAAGUGGGCUGGGCUCACUUGUCCUGCCUGGUCUUCUCACGUACAGCAUAUUUCCAAAUGUAUGUAUGUAUGUAUGUAUGUAUGUACGUAUGUAUGUUUGUAUGUAUGUAUGUAUAUGUGUGUGAUUGUGUACGUACGUAUGUACAUACAUACAUACAUGAUAGUUGUAAAUAACUGUCACUGUCAUGCAAAUGUUGUCAUUAAUUUCCAAUCUUCUAUUACAGCCUGCCUGAUUAUGGGGAAAUAUUGCCAUGUUAAGAAGCAAGAAAGAAUUGUCAACAGGACCGGCAUCCAUUGAAUUCCAUUUGACCAAUGCAAGCAUGGAGAAAUGGACAACAAUGUUGAUGAUAAUAUUAUAUAUGAUGGACAUUAAUAACUUCAGUGACUUGACAGCAUAAACAUCGCAAAGCCUUAUUCCAUAUCUUUUUCUUUAUCCCCUCACAGAUCACCACUUUAUUGACCCUGUAAGAUGUAAGUUUAUCCAAUCCUAUUCAUACCUUUUAUUAAUCAACCAAUCAUAGUAGCACUUUGUAAUUUCAUCAUUUUCAUUUCCUUGUAGUCAAAUUUUUCUUUAGUAACAUUCCUGAUUCCUCCUAAUUUGCUGUACUGAAAUUCAAAACAUUGUACACAAGCUCCCAAGUCAUAAAACAUGAGAAAACAUCUUACUAUUUUUGUUUAAGUUAAGUAAACUUGACAUUUAGCUCUAUGUAGCCUUGAGUUACAUGUUCUUAUCUCC
RNAcentral lists this long non-coding RNA (3670 nucleotides) under Octopus vulgaris (common octopus). Lineage: Eukaryota; Metazoa; Mollusca; Cephalopoda; Octopoda; Octopodidae. The record is from RNAcentral.